This is a long non-coding RNA of Nothoprocta perdicaria, 662 nucleotides long. RefSeq lists it as uncharacterized. NCBI's taxonomy places the organism in Eukaryota, Metazoa, Chordata, Aves, Tinamiformes, Tinamidae. The transcript is spliced from 4 exons. The record is from RefSeq and is a predicted model, not a curated record.
UUCCCUCAAGGCAAGGAAUGCUCCAGACUCUGUGGCUUCAAAGGGAGUACUCAAGGAAGGAGGAACUAUCUGAAUGCACCCUGUAGCCUGUGCUCAGCCCUCCUGGUCUUCCCAAAACGGCUCACAGGGAGAACUUCAAGGCAAAGAACUUGGUGAAAGCCUGCGUGGUACCGCAGAAGAAUGGAUAAUCCUUGGAUUUAUUAAAAGGGCUGAAUAGGAACCAGAUAACUAAAAGAAAGUGAAAUGUUUAUUGCAGGACUGCUUGAAAGAUGUGUGGCAUUGAUGAGAUGCCUAGGAGGAAAUUGCAUGCGGCUCUGACCUUAAGAGGCUCGGUGCUGAGAGAGGACUACGCUAAUCCCCAAAUCAGGAAAACACAGUUCUGCUCUGCCAUUGAAGUCAAGCACUCUGAAGGAACAAAGGCACUUAAGAACUAUCAAAACAGAAAAUUAGUUAAAUCACUGAACUGAUAAAGAAAAAGAAAAGGAAAAAGAGGAAAAGGAAAAGAGCUAUGAUAAUUCAAAUAGAAAUUCAAAGAGGUGGCUGCCUCUCCAGCUCAUCUUCACUUCUUCAGAUGAGGAAUCUUUCUUCACAGCUCUGUUAUCUGGUUGCUGGGAUUGAUAGAGCAAUGCUGAUGGUUUUCUCACAACAGAAAUUUCACUGAA